CUUUUGGUGUUAUAUCUAAAACUCAUAAACAAAUUUAAGAUCAUAUGGAUUUUCUCCUAAGUUUUCUUCUAGAAAUUUUAUAGUUUUGCAUUUUACAUUUAGGUCUAUGGUCCAUUUUGAGUUUAUUUUUGUGAAAAGUUUGUGCUGAGGUUCAUUUUCUUGCAUAUUGACAAACUCCUUCCUUGACCAAACUUUCUUCAGGCUCCUCUGAGCCCUAUUCUUGACUAACACUUGACCUUCCCCAGAUAGUGGUUUUUAAAACCAUUUUCCAAUAAAGACAGCUGUAUUCCUUUCUUUCCAAUUUGCACAGUUUUUAAUUCUUUUUAUUUUCUUAUUGUACUAACUAGGACUUCCAAUAUGAUUUUGAAAAGGAGUGGCUCCAAGUUCCUGAUCUUGGGAGAAAGCAUCCAGCCUAUCACCAUUAAGCAUGUUGUCACUUAAAUUGUGGCGAAUCCAAAUUCUCCACAGUGAAGCAGAAGAGGACAACUCUGACGCAGUCCUUCCGAGUGAGAACAAGCACCUUCCUCAUCUGAGGAAGACUAUAGAUAUUUCAUGUUACUCAUAGCUGAAUCUAACCCCUUAAUAAGUUUUCAACUAUGUUUGAUUAUGUGUUAAUAAAACCAUGUGGAAGAUUACUAAUGAUUGAUUCAAUUUCUUUAAUAUACAAAGUGUAUAUUAUCUAUCUCUCCUUGUGUGAAUUUUGAUAGUUUAUGUCUUUCAAGAAAUUGGUCCAUUUCACCUGAGUUGUCAAAUUUGUGGACCUAGAGUAUAGUAUAUGUCAUUUUAAUGUCCAUUAGUGAUGACGUCUCUUUUAUUUCUAAUAAUGAUAAUUCACGUCUUCUCUCUUUUUGACUUGGUUAGCCAGACCAGAGUUUGCUCUGGGGAGUUUUUAAAUUAUGAAUUCAAUUUUCUUAUCAACUACAGAGCUAUUCAGGCUAUCUAUUUCUUUUUGUGUGC
RNAcentral lists this long non-coding RNA (957 nucleotides) under Equus caballus (horse). Its description in RNAcentral is "lncRNA (ENSECAG00000059502.1)". The record is from RNAcentral. Lineage: Eukaryota; Metazoa; Chordata; Mammalia; Perissodactyla; Equidae.